AAAAUAUUAGGUUAAGUUAAACCGUUGACCUUCAAAGUCAAUAAUCUUUUUGAUGUUUUG
RNAcentral lists this transfer RNA (60 nucleotides) under Biomphalaria straminea. RNAcentral's name for it is "tRNA-Trp". The record is from RNAcentral. Lineage: Eukaryota; Metazoa; Mollusca; Gastropoda; Planorbidae.